UGCCUAUGGUGAUGACAUAUACUCAACAACCCCUUAAAUCUCUCCCAAGACUGAUACAAAGUCUCACUGUCCUUUUAUACAAAGGUGGAAAUUUUCUUUUUUAAUGCA
Juglans regia (Persian walnut) is the source of this 108-nucleotide small nucleolar RNA. The record is from RefSeq and is a predicted model, not a curated record. NCBI's taxonomy places the organism in Eukaryota, Viridiplantae, Streptophyta, Magnoliopsida, Fagales, Juglandaceae.